This 250-nucleotide ribosomal RNA is filed under the name uncultured bacterium. Its description in RNAcentral is "partial 16S ribosomal RNA". It matches the Rfam family "Bacterial small subunit ribosomal RNA", at positions 524 to 773 of the family's 1533-position model. The record is from RNAcentral.
UACAGAGGGUGCGAGCGUUAAUCGGAAUUACUGGGCGUAAAGCGCACGUAGACGGUUCUGUAAGUCGGAUGUGAAAGCCCCGGGCUUAACCUGGGAACUGCAUUCGAGACUGCAGUACUGGAGUAUGGGAGAGGGCAGUGGAAUUUCCGGUGUAGCGGUGAAAUGCGUAGAUAUCGGAAGGAACAUCAGUGGCGAAAGCGACUGCCUGGCCCAAUACUGACGUUCAUGUGCGAAAGCGUGGGGAGCAAAC